AUUGAACGCUGGCGGCAUGCCUUACACAUGCAAGUCGAACGGUAACGGGCCUUCGGGUGCCGACGAGUGGCGAACGGGUGAGUAAUGCAUCGGAACGUACCCAUUAGUGGGGGAUAACUCUCCGAAAGGAGGGCUAAUACCGCAUAUUCUGUGAGCAGGAAAGCAGGGGAUCGCAAGACCUUGCGCUGAUGGAGCGGCCGAUGUCAGAUUAGCUAGUUGGUGAGGUAAAGGCUCACCAAGGCGACGAUCUGUAGCGGGUCUGAGAGGAUGAUCGGCCACACUGGAACUGGGACACGGUCCAGCCUCCUACGGGAGGCAGCAGUGGGGAAUUUUGGACAAUGGGGGCAACCCUGAUCCAGCCAUGCCGCGUGAGUGAAGAAGGCCUUCGGGUUGUAAAGCUCUUUCGGCCGGGAAGAAAUCGCAUGGGUUAAUACCCUGUGUGGAUGACGGUACCGGAAUAAGAGGCACCGGCUAACUACGUGCCAGCCGCCGCCGUAA
RNAcentral lists this ribosomal RNA (498 nucleotides) under uncultured bacterium. RNAcentral describes it as "partial 16S ribosomal RNA". It matches the Rfam family "Bacterial small subunit ribosomal RNA", at positions 30 to 523 of the family's 1533-position model. The record is from RNAcentral.